AGUCGAACGAAGUCUUCGGACUUAGUGGCGGACGGGUGAGUAACACGUGGGAACGUGCCUUUAGGUUCGGAAUAACUCAGGGAAACUUGUGCUAAUACCGAAUGUGCCCUUCGGGGGAAAGAUUUAUCGCCUUUAGAGCGGCCCGCGUCUGAUUAGCUAGUUGGUGAGGUAAAGGCUCACCAAGGCGACGAUCAGUAGCUGGUCUGAGAGGAUGAUCAGCCACAUUGGGACUGAGACACGGCCCAAACUCCUACGGGAGGCAGCAGUGGGGAAUCUUGCGCAAUGGGCGAAAGCCUGACGCAGCCAUGCCGCGUGAAUGAUGAAGGUCUUAGGAUUGUAAAAUUCUUUCACCGGGGACGAUAAUGACGGUACCCGGAGAAGAAGCCCCGGCUAACUUCGUGCCAGCAGCCGCGGUAAUACGAAGGGGGCUAGCGUUGCUCGGAAUUACUGGGCGUAAAGGGAGCGUAGGCGGACAUUUAAGUCAGGGGUGAAAUCCCGGGGCUCAACCUCGGAAUUGCCUUUGAUACUGGGUGUCUUGAGUGUGNNNGAGGUAUGUGGAACUCCG
This 565-nucleotide ribosomal RNA is filed under the name Brevundimonas sp. Its description in RNAcentral is "bacterial SSU rRNA". It matches the Rfam family "Bacterial small subunit ribosomal RNA", at positions 60 to 671 of the family's 1533-position model. Lineage: Bacteria; Pseudomonadati; Pseudomonadota; Alphaproteobacteria; Caulobacterales; Caulobacteraceae. The record is from RNAcentral.